GUGCCAGCAGCCGCGGUAAUACGUAGGUGGCAAGCGUUGUCCGGAUUUAUUGGGUUUAAAGGGUGCGUAGGCGGUCUAUUAAGUCAGUGGUGAAAUAUGGCAGCUCAACUGUCAAGGUGCCAUUGAUACUGAUGGACUUGAGUGAAGUCGAAGUAGGCGGAAUUGACGGUGUAGCGGUGAAAUGCUUAGAUAUCGUCAAGAACACCGAUAGUGAAGACAGCUUACUAGGCUUAUACUGACGCUGAGGCACGAAAGUGUGGGGAUCAAACAGGAUUAGAAACCCCCGUAGUCC
RNAcentral lists this ribosomal RNA (292 nucleotides) under uncultured bacterium. Its description in RNAcentral is "partial 16S ribosomal RNA". It matches the Rfam family "Bacterial small subunit ribosomal RNA", at positions 505 to 796 of the family's 1533-position model. The record is from RNAcentral.